RNAcentral lists this ribosomal RNA (619 nucleotides) under uncultured bacterium. Its description in RNAcentral is "bacterial SSU rRNA". It matches the Rfam family "Bacterial small subunit ribosomal RNA", at positions 57 to 715 of the family's 1533-position model. The record is from RNAcentral.
GCAGUCGAAGGAGAAGCCCUUCGGAUGGUGGAAACUGGCGCACGGGUGAGUAACGCGUGGGUAUCUACCUUGGGGUGGGGAAUAACCGUUGGAAACGGCGGCUAAUACCGCAUACGCCUUUAGAGGGAAAGCUCCGGCGCCCUAAGAGGAGCCCGCGUUGGAUUAGCUUGUUGGUAGGGUAACGGCCUACCAAGGCUACGAUCUAUAGCUGGUCUGAGAGGAUGAUCAGCCACACUGGGACUGAGACACGGCCCAGACUCCUACGGGAGGCAGCAGUGGGGAAUAUUGGACAAUGGGCGCAAGCCUGAUCCAGCCAUGCCGCGUGAGUGAAGAAGGCCUUAGGGUUGUAAAGCUCUUUCACCUGCGAAGAUGAUGACGGUAGCAGGAGAAGAAGCCCCGGCUAACUCCGUGCCAGCAGCCGCGGUAAUACGGAGGGGGCUAGCGUUGUUCGGAAUUACUGGGCGUAAAGGGCGCGUAGGCGGUAUGCCAUGUCAGGGGUGAAAGGCCUGGGCUCAACCUAGGAACUGCCUUUGAAACUGGCAAACUAGAGUCCGAGAGAGGAUGGCGGAAUUCCCAGUGUAGAGGUGAAAUUCGUAGAUAUUGGGAAGAACACCAGUGG